AUUGAACGCUGGCGGCAGGCUUAACACAUGCAAGUCGAGCGGAGAUGAGGUGCUUGCACCUUAUCUUAGCGGCGGACGGGUGAGUAAUGCUUAGGAAUCUGCCUAUUAGUGGGGGACAACAUUCCGAAAGGAAUGCUAAUACCGCAUACGUCCUACGGGAGAAAGCAGGGGAUCUUCGGACCUUCCGCUACUAUAUGCGCCUAAGUCGGAUUAGCUAGUUGGUGGGGUAAAGGCCUACCAAGGCGACGAUCUGUAGCGGGUCUGAGAGGAUGAUCCGCCACACUGGGACUGAGACACGGCCCAGACUCCUACGGGAGGCAGCAGUGGGGAAUAUUGGACAAUGGGGGAAACCCUGAUCCAGCCAUGCCGCGUGUGUGAAGAAGGCCUUAUGGUUGUAAAGCACUUUAAGCGAGGAGGAGGCUACUGAGACUAAUACUCUUGGAUAGUGGACGUUACUCGCAGAAUAAGCACCGGCUAACUCUGUGCCAGCCGCCGCCGUAA
Molecule: ribosomal RNA, 501 nt
Filed under: uncultured bacterium
Lineage: Bacteria
Description: partial 16S ribosomal RNA
Rfam family: Bacterial small subunit ribosomal RNA
Source: RNAcentral